This 1094-nucleotide long non-coding RNA is filed under the name Homo sapiens (human). RNAcentral describes it as "HSALNT0381575". The record is from RNAcentral. Lineage: Eukaryota; Metazoa; Chordata; Mammalia; Primates; Hominidae.
GUGACCUGAGACAUUCAGUGCCACUUGUGUAUUCCAGACAUUUGUCUUUCUGAGAGAAGCAGUGCUACCACUUUUUUUUUUUUUUUCUUUUUUUUGAGCCAGAGUCUCGCUCUGUUGCCAGGCUGGAGCACUGAGACACAAUCUCGGCUCACUGCAACCUCCCCCUCCCGGGUUCAAGCGAUUCUCCUGCCUCAGCCUCUGGAGUAGCUGGGACUACAGGCGCCCGCCACCACGCCCGGCUAAUUUUUGUGUUUUUAGUAGAGACAGGGUUUCACCAUGUUGGCCAGGCUGGUCUCAAUCUCUUGAGCUCGUGAUCCACCUGCCUUGGCGUUCCAAAGUGCUGGGAUUACAAGCUUGAGCCACCGCACCUGGCCCACUUUUUUACCUUCUCAAAACCCCAACUCUCCUGUAAUUCCUGAAGCCCAGCCUCAACUGAAUAGCAGAGAGAUUUUGGCUUUCAUUCCAGAAUGAUGUCUCACAGAAAGUCAACUCGUGUUCCAGAAUAAUCUACUGGAAGUAGGAUUACCAAAUCAAAGAGUAUCAUCAUUUUCAAGACUUUAGUACCUAUCGCCAAGAAAGCUGUAUCAAUUUAUAUUCACAGUAUAUUAAUGUCUUUCUGAAACUGACUGAAUUGAUUAAUGUCAUUUAAAAAUCAUGCUAUCUUGUUAGGCCUCUGAUACUUUGUAUUUACUGGUAAGGCUGAAAAUUGUUUACAGACUAAUGAAACACAUUAUAUAUUAAGGUUAUUUAUUUUGUGCCUUAAUAUUUGAAAAAAUACAUCUUCUUAUCAGUUUGCUUUUUGUCCUUUUUGCUGAUUGUUUAUGAUCUUUUUUGACAUACAAAAAUUUUAUUUUUCUCUAUAUUUCAAUGUAUUGAACUUUGUAUUCUGUAAUUUCUUCUAUUACUGUAAAGUAGAGAAAAUCUGCCUGUAUCUAGAUAAAUAUGCAGAAAUACAUUCUCGUUAUUUAAUUAAUUUUUCAAAAAUAUUUCUUGAAUUUAUCUAGGAUUUGUUAUACGGCGUGAAAAAAAUUUAUUUUUCUCUGAUAAGCUAAAAAUCAUCAUGCACAAUUUAUUACUUUUUCCCCACAGCUUAU